CUCAACAACCUCAGGAGGCAGCUGGACAGCAUCGUGGGGGAACGGGGCCGCCUGGACUCGGAGCUCAGAGGCAUGCAGGAUCUGGUGGAGGACUUCAAGAACAAAUAUGAGGAUGAAAUCAACAAGCGCACAGCAGCAGAGAAUGAAUUUGUGACUCUGAAGAAGGAUGUGGAUGCUGCCUACAUGAACAAGGUUGAACUGCAAGCCAAGGCAGACACUCUCACAGAUGAGAUCAACUUCCUGAGAGCCUUGUAUGAUGCAGAGCUGUCCCAGAUGCAGACCCACAUCUCAGACACGUCCGUGGUGCUGUCCAUGGACAACAACCGCAACCUGGACCUGGACAGCAUCAUCGCCGAGGUCAAGGCCCAAUAUGAGGAGAUUGCUCAGAGGAGCCGGGCUGAGGCUGAGUCCUGGUACCAGACCAAGGUGAGCAGGGAGUGGGCAGCUGCUGAGGAAUCCCUGUGUCCAUUCCUGAAUACCAGAGGACUGCCGACUUCACUGGGGACAUCCCCUGACAGGAAGCUGGCGUCCUCUCCCAGGACAUGCACUCUGCACUAUUAGAGUAGACAUUUGCGGAACUUAUGCCCAAGUCAAGGAGGAAAAAGAACCCAAUGCAGGAGGAAAGCUACCAUAGACAAGGACAUAGUCAUCUCUGCUUUUAGCUUCACUCUGAUUGCUGACUUUUUGAAAAUGGUAUAGAACAUUUCUACUCCCUA
Molecule: small RNA, 716 nt
Filed under: Pongo abelii (Sumatran orangutan)
Lineage: Eukaryota; Metazoa; Chordata; Mammalia; Primates; Hominidae
Description: retained intron
Source: RNAcentral